This 506-nucleotide ribosomal RNA is filed under the name uncultured Glomeromycotina. RNAcentral's name for it is "partial small subunit ribosomal RNA". It matches the Rfam family "Eukaryotic small subunit ribosomal RNA", at positions 591 to 1092 of the family's 1831-position model. The record is from RNAcentral. Lineage: Eukaryota; Fungi; Glomeromycota.
CCAAUAGCGUAUAUUAAAGUUGUUGCAGUUAAAAAGCUCGUAGUUGAAUUUCGGGAUUGACACAUCGGUCGUGCCUUAAGGGGUAUGAACUGGUGUAGUCAGUUUCUCACCUUCUGGAGAACUGCGAUGCCCUUAAUUGGGUGUCACGGGGAACCAGGACCUUUACUUUGAAAAAAUUAGAGUGUUUAAAGCAGGCAUUUUGCUUGAAUACAUUAGCAUGGAAUAAUAAAAUAGGACGGCAUGAUUCUAUUUUGUUGGUUUCUAGGAUCACCGUAAUGAUUAAUAGGGAUAGUUGGGGGCAUUAGUAUUCAAUUGUCAGAGGUGAAAUUCUUGGAUUUAUUGAAGACUAACUACUGCGAAAGCAUUUGCCAAGGAUGUUUUCAUUAAUCAAGAACGAAAGUUAGGGGAUCGAAGACGAUCAAAUACCGUCGUAGUCUUAACCAUAAACUAUGCCGACUAGGAAUCAGACGAUGUUAAUUUUUUAAUGACUCGUUUGGCACCUUACG